This 2264-nucleotide long non-coding RNA is filed under the name Homo sapiens (human). RNAcentral's name for it is "long non-coding RNA NONHSAT198214.1". Lineage: Eukaryota; Metazoa; Chordata; Mammalia; Primates; Hominidae. The record is from RNAcentral.
AAAAAGGUUCCGGCCUCAGCCGGCGCACCUGGCGGAGGAGGAACCUCGCGACGCGCUCUCGGGCAUCGGUUUCUCCCAGCAAAGCUUGGAGGGUUUAGCUGCGCGGAGAGCUCAGCGAGCUCUUCUGUGUCUGUUUGGGGCGUGUGGGCUCCGGGAGCGUGAGGACCGGGAAGCUAGGAGGCUCCUUCCCUUCUGGCGGCUCCCUCACUGAGACCGGGCGGUUUGGUUGCGGGGGAAGUGGAGACGAGCCACCCUUGACCUUUGACUGCAAGAACUCACCUUGAGCAGGAUAGAGGCACGUGGACGGUGACCCUCGGGAUGCAAUAAAUGCUGAGACAGAUCAGGUGUGCAAGGCACAGAGCUAGAGGCCAGAGGCCUUUCUUCUCCAACCUUCAGUCACCUCUUUUUAAAGUGAAGCCAGCAUCCUCCUCGGGGUUUACUGUGAAAAUUAAGUGAGCUGACGCGUGCUGUGUUUUGAUGUUGCUUGGCUCCUAGAAACAUUGAGUGGGCCAGACACUGUUCUGAAAAAUACGCAGUCGACUUUUGAACAGCACAGGCUUGAACUGCAUGCGGCCACUAAUACUCGGACUUCCUUCUGCCUCUGCCAUCCCUAAGACAGCAAGACCCACCCCUCCUGCUCCUCAGCCUACUCGAUGUGAUGAUGGUGAGUAUGAAGACCUUUACUUUAUGAUGAUCCACUUCCAUUUAAUGGAUAGUAAAUAUAUUUUCUCUUCCUAUGAUUUUCUUAAUACCAUUUUCUUUUCUCUAGCUUACUUUAUUGAAAGAAUACAGUAUCUAAUACAUAUGACAUGCAAAAUCUGGCUUCCUUUUCCCUUCAAUGGAAUAACAUAUACAAACUCUACCUAAGAGUGCUGUGUGAAGUACAUGCCAGCCUACAAGACAUGUCUCUAACCAAGUCGAAAGAGUGCAGUAUUCGUUCAUUCACUCAUUCAUUCAUUCAACAAAUGUUUAUUAAUAGGUAUUAUAGAGUUUAAAACAAUGCAGCCACAGAGGCGGACAGCUUUCCGUGGAAAAGAGUAGAUCUUUCAUGGAUGGUUGAAGUUGACAGGCAGGCAUCCUGUCUUUUGGAAGCCAGGGAGGAACAGCCUCGAAUGGACAGGGUGAGGAAACUGAGGCCUGGGACCUGAUGUGAGUUGUUCAGGUGGCCAAGGGAGGAACUGAACACAGAUUUGUGUGACUCCAAAACCCAAGUAUUUGGGCUGUUUUUUUCUCCUUUUGGUUUGUCACUUAUAACUUGCCUGUCCCACAUGUGGCCAUGACUCUGACUUUCAGUUCACCUGUGUCCCUGUGCCCAAACCUUUGCUUUGUCAGCCUCCCCCAUUAGACUAUGAGGUGCUUGAGGACAGGGGAAGGUGUCACCUGUCUCCACAUUCCAUUGAAAAAACUGGAUAACACUGAAAGAGGUUGUGUGCUGCAAAGAGCACUGGGCUGGGAGUCUGAACCCUGCCGGCAGGUGAGGCUCCUUCUUUGCAGAGAUUCAGAGAGUCUAAGCAACUUUUCUAAAUCAUCUAGCUGGAAUUCAGUAACUGAGCCAGGAUCUACCCCAGGUCUGUCUGACUCCAAAGCCUGUGUCUUCCAGCACACACUGCUGCUGCCUGGGGAGGAAUGUGGAUAUGAUGUCUGGAGCUCUAGCAACCAUAUCAGACCACAAGGAUGAAUGUACACCCCAGGAAUGGAAGAGAGGAAAGCCAGAAAAAGACUCGGUCCCUGAUGGCUGAAGAGCUACCAUACCUGCCCCUAGAUCUUCUAUUUCUGAUCAUCUUCUAUGCAAGGGUGAGUGAACUCGUAUUGUGUUAACGUCACUGUGAUACUGGGUCUUGUUUCUUGCCAGUUGAAUGUGAUCCUAAGUGGUACAAUGGGUCAACUGAGAGGAAGAGAAUGAACUUGGGUUGGGAUUUGAAAGAUGGGUAGGACUGAGACAGGAAUGGGGGAAGAAGUUCCUUAUAGGUGCUGGGAACAGCAAGAGUGAGAAGUGUCCUUGAGGUGGCAUGUGGAGUAUAACAAGGAAGAUGUAGGAGCUAAGCAGGGUUAGAGCAGUGGUUUGUAAAGAGCUUUGGCUGCCAGGCAGUGAAGAUACAAUUUCAACUGUUAAGCACUGGGGAGCCAUAGAAGGUGUUUGAGCGGAUAAGUGAUGUGUUUGGUACUGGAUUUUGCCUUGAUGGAGAUCUGUAGGCGGAACUGAAGAGGAGGAAGCCUGGGCCAGAAAUGGGGCCCUGGGGGGUGGGAAUUGCUUGGAAAGGAGG